ACGGGGUGCAGCAGGCGAGAAACCUUUGCAAAAUGUGCGAAAGCACGACAAGGUUAAUCCGAGUGAUUUCUGCUAAAGAAAUCUUUUGUUAGUCAUAAAACCACUGAUGAAUAAGGGGUGGGCAAGUUCUGGUGUCAGCCGCCGCGGUAAUACCAGCACCUCGAGUGGUCAGGAGGUUUAUUGGGCCUAAAGCAUCCGUAGCCGGCUGCAUAAGUUUCCGGUUAAAUCCACACGCUUAACGUAUGGGCUGCCGGAAAUACUGUUCAGCUAGGGAGUGGGAGAGGUGGACGGUACUCGGUAGGAAGGGGUAAAAUCCUUUGAUCUAUUGAUGACCACCUGUGGCGAAGGCGGUCCACCAGAACACGUUCGACGGUGAGGGAUGAAAGCUGGGGGAGCAAACCGGAUUAGAUACCCGGGUAGUCCCAGCUGUAAACGAUGCAGACUCGGUGAUGCAUUGGCUUGUGGCCAGUGCAGUGCCGCAGGGAAGCCGUUAAGUUUGCCGCCUGGGAAGUACGUACGCAAGUAUGAAACUUAAAGGAAUUGCG
RNAcentral lists this ribosomal RNA (545 nucleotides) under uncultured archaeon. Its description in RNAcentral is "bacterial SSU rRNA". It matches the Rfam family "Archaeal small subunit ribosomal RNA", at positions 325 to 869 of the family's 1478-position model. The record is from RNAcentral.